GCGCACCAGGCGAGAAACUUCACACUGUGCGAAAGCACGAUGAGGGAAUCCCAAGUGCUUGCACGUAAGUGUAAGCUGUUUCUCUGUCUAAAGCGCAGAGAGAGUAAGGGCUGGGUAAGACGGGUGCCAGCCGCCGCGGUAAUACCUGCAGCUCAAGUAGUGACCGUUAUUAUUGGGCCUAAAACGUCCGUAGCCGGUUUAAUAAAUGCCUGGGUAAAUUGUGUAGCUUAACUAUACGAAUUCCGGGUAGACUGUUAAACUUGAGACCGGGAGAAGUUAGAGGUACUCCUGGGGUAGAGGUGAAAAUUCUGUAAUCCUAGGGGGACCACCAGUGGCGAAGGCGUCUAACUAGAACGGGUCUGACGGUGAGGGACGAAGCCCUGGGGCGCAAAACGGGGAUUAGAUACCCGUGUAG
This 415-nucleotide ribosomal RNA is filed under the name uncultured microorganism. RNAcentral's name for it is "bacterial SSU rRNA". It matches the Rfam family "Archaeal small subunit ribosomal RNA", at positions 330 to 744 of the family's 1478-position model. The record is from RNAcentral.